Molecule: long non-coding RNA, 564 nt
Filed under: Macaca mulatta (Rhesus monkey)
Lineage: Eukaryota; Metazoa; Chordata; Mammalia; Primates; Cercopithecidae
Description: lncRNA (ENSMMUG00000053851.1)
Source: RNAcentral
GAAAGCACUCCGUAACAACUAGAAUAAUAUUAUGACACUAGAUGUGUCUUGUACUUUAUGAUUCAUAGGCAUUGUCUCACCUGACCCUGACAACAGCCCUGUAUGAGAGACAUAGUCUUAAUCACAUUUAACAGAUGAAGAUGCAUAGGUUCAGAGAGGCUCACUGACUGGGCCUACAUUAGAUAGUGAAUAUUAUACCUUGAACCUAAACUCCAGGUCUUCUGACUCCAAAACCAAUGUCCUCACCCUCUCAGACAUCGACCUCAAUAUGUUAUGUGAUUCUUGGUUCUCAAUGUGAACCAUGAGGAGAGUUUGGUGAAUGUCACUUAACAGAUCUUCAGGCAUGCAAAUCCCUAUGCCCAGCACAUUUCCGUGGACCCCUUCUGCUCCCUUGACAAUACUUGCUCCUUCCUACUCCACUCUUCACCUGGAUGGCCCUUCCCUUCAGGAUUCAGCUUGGGCCCAACUUCGCCUGGAUUAUCCUGCUCCUGUUUCCCCAGGAGCCAGCCGGUACUUUUCUGUGAUGUGUUAUUACAGAAUAGAACCAUAGACUGUGGUUUGUUU